GGGGAAUCUUGCGGGAGCUCGGGACGGCCGGGCUGAGAGGGCGGAGAUGCCGCCGACCGCCGAACCUGAUCCGGGUAAUGCCGGCGCAGGGAAGCCUCCCGAUCCUCCG
This 109-nucleotide non-coding RNA is filed under the name Acidobacteriota bacterium. RNAcentral's name for it is "Acidobacteria bacterium TPP sequence". It matches the Rfam family "TPP riboswitch aptamer (THI element)". Rfam says of the family: Vitamin B(1) in its active form thiamin pyrophosphate (TPP) is an essential coenzyme that is synthesised by coupling of pyrimidine and thiazole moieties in bacteria. The previously detected thiamin-regulatory element, thi box was extended, resulting in a new, highly conserved RNA secondary structure, the THI element, which is widely distributed in eubacteria and also occurs in some archaea. Lineage: Bacteria; Pseudomonadati; Acidobacteriota. The record is from RNAcentral.